Molecule: ribosomal RNA, 465 nt
Filed under: Propionibacterium sp. canine oral taxon 324
Lineage: Bacteria; Bacillati; Actinomycetota; Actinomycetes; Propionibacteriales; Propionibacteriaceae
Description: bacterial SSU rRNA
Rfam family: Bacterial small subunit ribosomal RNA
Source: RNAcentral
GAGUUUGAUUAUGGCUCAGGACGAACGCUGGCGGCGUGCCUAACACAUGCAAGUCGAACGGUAAGGCCCUUUUGGGGGUACACGAGUGGCGAACGGGUGAGUAACACGUGAGUAACCUGCCCUUGACUCUGGGAUAACAGUUGGAAACAGUUGCUAAUACCGGAUAUGAACCCCUGGGGCAUCUUGGGGGUUGGAAAGUUCCGGCGGUCAGGGAUGGGCUCGCGGCCUAUCAGCUUGUUGGUGAGGUAGUGGCUCACCAAGGCGACGACGGGUAGCCGGCCUGAGAGGGCGACCGGCCACAUUGGGACUGAGAUACGGCCCAAACUCCUACGGGAGGCAGCAGUGGGGAAUAUUGCACAAUGGGCGGAAGCCUGAUGCAGCAACGCCGCGUGCGGGAUGACGGCCUUCGGGUUGUAAACCGCUUUCAUCCAUGACGAAGCUUUUGUGANCGGUAGUGAAAACGCA